GACGAACGCUGGCGGCGUGCCUAAUACAUGCAAGUCGAACGAGUGGCGGACGGGUGAGUAAUGUCUGGGAAACUGCCCGAUGGAGGGGGAUAACUACUGGAAACGGUAGCUAAUACCGCAUACCAUCGGAUGUGCCCAGAUGGGAUUUGCAAGUAGGUGGGGUAACGGCUCACCUAGGCUACGAUCUUUGGCUGGUCUGAGAUGAUGAUCAGCCACACUGGGACUGAGACACGGCCCAGACUCCUACGGUAGGCAGCAGUGGGGAAUAUUGCACAAUGGGCGCAAGCCUGAUGCAGCCAUGCCGCGUGUAUGAAGAAGGCCUUAGGGUGGUAAAGUACUUUCAGCGGGGAGGCGUUACCCGCAGAAGAAGCACCGGCUAACUCCGUGCCAGCCGCCGCGGUAAUUC
This 406-nucleotide ribosomal RNA is filed under the name uncultured bacterium. Its description in RNAcentral is "partial 16S ribosomal RNA". It matches the Rfam family "Bacterial small subunit ribosomal RNA", at positions 28 to 526 of the family's 1533-position model. The record is from RNAcentral.